This 109-nucleotide non-coding RNA is filed under the name Paenibacillus alvei TS-15. Its description in RNAcentral is "EGFOA RNA". It matches the Rfam family "EGFOA RNA". Lineage: Bacteria; Bacillati; Bacillota; Bacilli; Caryophanales; Paenibacillaceae. RNAcentral also lists the same sequence under 1 other name. The record is from Rfam by way of RNAcentral.
UCACUCCCAGAAUCACACCGUCGCAGUAGCUUAUUAGCUAGGUGGCAUGACAGAGUUGUAUUCAAAUACAUACGUGGUAAAGCUGCACCUGGGCACGUUGAAUGUCAUG